RNAcentral lists this ribosomal RNA (576 nucleotides) under Triticum aestivum (bread wheat). Its description in RNAcentral is "partial small subunit ribosomal RNA". The record is from RNAcentral. Lineage: Eukaryota; Viridiplantae; Streptophyta; Magnoliopsida; Poales; Poaceae.
AUGGCCGGCAUGGCGGCGCUGCAGGGCGCCAUGGGGGCGCUCUCCGUCUCGGCCGCGAGCACCAGCGCAUUCUGGGGCAACCCGCUCGCCGCCACCUUCUCCGCCGCGCCGUCUGGGGUCAGAUUCAUGGCCAAGACAAGCCCAAUUGAAAUGAGGCUUAAGCGAUGGGAACGGAAGAAGUGUAAGCCAAACAGUCUUCCUAUGCUGCACAAGAUGCAUGUUAGGGUCGGCGACACGGUGCAGGUCAUCGCAGGCCGUGAGAAAGGUAAAGUUGGGGAAGUCGUACGGCUUUAUAAGCACAACAGCACUGUGAUAGUGAAGGAUCUGAACUUGAAGUCAAAGCACAAGAAAGGCACUGAGGAUGAACCGGGUGAAAUUGUCAUGAUUGAAGGCCCCAUUCAUAGCUCGAACAUGAUGCUCUACUCAAAGGAGAAGAACGUGACGAGUAGGGUUGGGCACAAAAUCCUCGAGGAUGGCACCAAGGUCCGCUACCUGAAGAAGACCGGUGAAGUAAUCGACAGCGUUGACAACUGGGUGAAGGUGUUCAAGGAAGGAGAUUCUGAGUCAUCAUCGUAG